This 1208-nucleotide long non-coding RNA is filed under the name Astyanax mexicanus (Mexican tetra). RNAcentral's name for it is "lncRNA (ENSAMXG00005007257.1)". The record is from RNAcentral. Lineage: Eukaryota; Metazoa; Chordata; Actinopteri; Characiformes; Acestrorhamphidae.
CUACUCACCACCGCCCUCUAAAGGUGUUACUGCACCUGUUAGAACUAACACUACUCACCACCGCCCUCUAAAGGUGUUACUGCACCUGUUAGAACUAACACUACUCACCACCGCCCUCUAAAGGUGCUACUGCACCUGUUAGAACUAACACUACUCACCACCACCCUCUAAAGGUGUCGCACUCAAUAUUAGAAACAGGUGGAUUUGUCCCCCAAAAAAAUGAUAUCAUUUCGCUCAGCUCAGAUGUACUUUUAAUGAGGAGACAGACCAGACCAAUCACGGAGCCGGUUGAGGAAUUAAGUUCCGCCUCUCAGGAGAAACAGCCAAUCAGCUUGCUGUUUUUGCGGCGCGCGGAGGAGUAUACAGCGAUUUUUGUAAACGAAAGCUGCCAUGAAACCUCUGGCUGAGGUUCAGCUAAUAACGGCCAGAGCCGGGGAAGGAGGGGCCAGCACGGACUCGGAUGGAUUCGACGAUCUGGAUUGGACAGUGUGGAAUAGAAUAACCCUGUGAUUGGACGUUGUGGACCUGAUAUGUCUGUGAUUGGACAAUAUGAAAUAGAAAAAAAAAAGACUGGUUAACAGUCUGAAAAUUAAAUCGUCCUGUUAUUGGACAGUGUGGAGUAGAAUCACACGUGAUUGGACAGUGUUGAGUAGAAAAACCCUGUCAAUGAACAGUGUUAAAUAACCCUGUGAUCGGACAGUGUGAAGUAGACCACUUGUGAUUGGACAGUGUGGAGUAGACUCACUUGUUAUUGGACAAUGUUGAGUCAAACAAUUCUGUAACUGGACAGUUUAAAAUGGACAAAGAUGUGUGAUUGGACACUGUGGAUAUAACGCUUUGAUUGGACAAUGGAAAACCUAGGAGGAAGAUGAAUUGGACCAUACAUAAGUAAGGUAACCCUGUGAUUGGACAGUUUUGGGAGUACAUGAGUAAGGUAACUCUGUGAUUGGACAGUUUUUGGAUUACACGCUGUUGUACAGGCUGGGACAGUGCUAAUGCUAAUGCCCCCCGCCUUUCUGGACUCCACCCCUCAGCCUCCACUUCCUCACCGGAGAGCAGCAGGUAGCGCUCAUCACACGCCUCCCUAAGCCCCGCCCAGUGUGGUGAUGGUCCUGGCAAUAAGUGUAGAAGUUGUGUAGAAGAAGUCGUGGAGUUCCUGUGGAGCAUCUUUAGAACUGCCCCGUAAUAAAUGUGACCUACUGUCAUCA